This 451-nucleotide ribosomal RNA is filed under the name Edaphochlamys debaryana. RNAcentral describes it as "small subunit ribosomal RNA". It matches the Rfam family "Bacterial small subunit ribosomal RNA", at positions 1035 to 1533 of the family's 1533-position model. The record is from RNAcentral. Lineage: Eukaryota; Viridiplantae; Chlorophyta; Chlorophyceae; Chlamydomonadales.
AUGCUCUUGCAUGGUUGACACGUUCGUGCAGAAGGACAACCAUAGGUCUCCUACUUGCCACGUUUGUCUGAACAAUCAAACAAAUCAUCAUGGGGCUAUAGAGUGGGCUACAGGCGUAUUACAUUGGGCACUACAAUUUGACAUUCAAAACUGCCCGGAUAUACGGAUUAGAGAUUAGACUGGGAGAGCUUUAAGCUCGACUGUACCACGUCUGCUUGCUGAAAUUGCCUCUAUGAAGAAGGAAUCGCGAGUAAUCGUAGAUCAUUACUGCUACGGUGAAGGCAACCUCUAUUGUGCACACAUUGCCCGUCACCUUUGGCGAUGGUUUUGUACAGGAAGAAUUCCGGUUACACCUAGGUCGCAGCCGGAUUACGUAUGCGUGAAAUCAGAGCUAAAGUAAGUCGUAACAAGGUCGUGGUAGUGGAAGCUGCUGCGGAAUCAAUUUAUAUAU